GCAGGAACAGCAACAGGCACUAGGAAACAGACUGAGAAAGCAGAUACAGUGUUUCCCGUGAAAACUGUUCCCUUUGUGGUAGAUUAACGAACGUCUGACCACAUGUUCAUUUCUGAGAGAUAAGUGAGUGUGAAAACAGUACUUCACCUAGCUUGUUAGGAACAAAAAGUUUCUUUUCAUUUGAAAACUACACUUCAUACACAUAUAUGGGUUGGUACUAGCACCAACUCGGUCUAACAGUGAAAGUUGCAGGAACUUCAAACCGGCACUAGGAAAUACUUUGAGAAAGAAGAGAACAAGUCUCUCCUGC
Vicugna pacos (alpaca) is the source of this 310-nucleotide non-coding RNA. NCBI's taxonomy places the organism in Eukaryota, Metazoa, Chordata, Mammalia, Artiodactyla, Camelidae. The record is from RefSeq and is a predicted model, not a curated record.